This 429-nucleotide ribosomal RNA is filed under the name Bacteroidota bacterium. RNAcentral describes it as "Bacteroidetes bacterium partial 16S ribosomal RNA". It matches the Rfam family "Bacterial small subunit ribosomal RNA", at positions 355 to 776 of the family's 1533-position model. Lineage: Bacteria; Pseudomonadati; Bacteroidota. The record is from RNAcentral.
UAGGGAAUCUUCGGCAAUGGGGGGAACCCUGACCGAGCAACGCCGCGUGAGUGAAGAAGGUUUUCGGAUCGUAAAGCUCUGUUGUUAAGGAAGAACGAGUGGGAGAAUGGAAAGUUCAUACUGUGACGGUACUUAACCAGAAAGGGACGGCUAACUACGUGCCAGCAGCCGCGGUAAUACGUAGGUCCCGGGCGUUGUCCGGAUUUAUUGGGCGUAAAGCGAGCGCAGGCGGUUAGAUAAGUCUGAAGUUAAAGGCAGUGGCUCAACCAUUGUAGGCUUUGGAAACUGUUUAACUUGAGUGCAGAAGGGGAGAGUGGAAUUCCAUGUGUAGCGGUGAAAUGCGUAGAUAUAUGGGGGAACACCGGUGGCGAAAGCGGCUCUCUGGUCUGUAACUGACGCUGAGGCUCGAAAGCGUGGGGAGCGAACAGG